This 253-nucleotide ribosomal RNA is filed under the name uncultured bacterium. RNAcentral describes it as "partial 16S ribosomal RNA". It matches the Rfam family "Bacterial small subunit ribosomal RNA", at positions 524 to 776 of the family's 1533-position model. The record is from RNAcentral.
UACAGAGGUCCCGAGCGUUGUUCGGAUUCACUGGGCGUAAAGGGUGCGUAGGUGGCAGGGUAAGUCGGAUGUGAAAGCUCGGAGCUCAACUCCGAAAUGGCAUUGGAAACUACCCAGCUCGAGGGUUGGAGGGGGGACUGGAAUGCUUGGUGUAGCAGUGAAAUGCGUAGAUAUCAAGCGGAACACCGGUGGCGAAGGCGAGUCCCUGGACAACUCCUGACACUGAGGCACGAAAGCUAGGGGAGCAAACAGG